This 507-nucleotide ribosomal RNA is filed under the name uncultured bacterium. Its description in RNAcentral is "bacterial SSU rRNA". It matches the Rfam family "Bacterial small subunit ribosomal RNA", at positions 36 to 518 of the family's 1533-position model. The record is from RNAcentral.
CUGGCGGCGUGCCUAAUACAUGCAAGUCAACGGCUUUCUAUGGAAGCUUGCUUCCACUGAGAAGAUAGUGGCGAACGGGUGAGUAACACGUGGGUAACCUGCCCAUAAGAGGGGGAUAACAUCCGGAAACGGGUGCUAAUACCGCAUAGUUUUCUUGAUUGCAUGAUUGAGAAAGGAAAGACGGCCUUUGUGCUGUCGCUUAUGGAUGGACCCGCGGCGUAUUAGUUAGUUGGUGAGGUAACGGCUCACCAAGACGAUGAUACGUAGCCGACCUGAGAGGGUGAUCGGCCACAUUGGGACUGAGACACGGCCCAAACUCCUACGGGAGGCAGCAGUAGGGAAUCUUCCGCAAUGGACGAAAGUCUGACGGAGCAACGCCGCGUGAGUGAAAGAAGGUUUUCGGAUCGUAAAACUCUGUUGUCAGAGAAGAACAAGUUGGAGAGUAACUGCUCCAGCCUUGACGGUAUCUGACCAGAAAGCCACGGCUAACUACGUGCCAGCCGCCGC